RNAcentral lists this transfer RNA (76 nucleotides) under Chloroflexota bacterium. RNAcentral describes it as "tRNA-Ala". It matches the Rfam family "tRNA". From Rfam's summary of the family: Transfer RNA (tRNA) molecules are approximately 80 nucleotides in length. Their secondary structure includes four short double-helical elements and three loops (D, anti-codon, and T loops). The record is from RNAcentral. Lineage: Bacteria; Bacillati; Chloroflexota.
GGGGCUGUAGCUCAGUCGGUAGAGCAUCUGCUUUGCAAGCAGGGGGUCAGGAGUUCGAGCCUCCUCAGCUCCACCA